UCCCAAGACCAGGGUGGCCCAGCAGAACAGAACCAACCGGCAGGUUCUUUGUUUCAGGAUAAGCUCUACUGGAGGGGUGUGGAUGAUGAAGCUGAGGGUAGUCCUUGUUCUGCAGGGAGGAAACUGGUUCCCCUCUGUUUUACAGGCUUACUCUGGGGAUUUGGACAGCAGAUUUGGGGGUUGACAGCAGAAUGACACGAUUCUCUUGUUGACCUUUUCCAGGAUGCUUCUUAUUUUAUUGCUGACUUCUGCAGGUCCUUUGUUCUGGGGUGAGUCAUUCUUGCCCUGCCCUCCUGCCUGUCUGCCCUCUCCACCUUCCCAGCCCUGAGCUUGUUCCCACUCAUAGAUUUGGCCAGUUACUGCGGAGGCCCCCCUGCUCCUAUUGAGGAUGGCACCCACAGGAUGGGUGGCACAGCUCUGCUCUCUGCCCUCGUCGGGGAGAUGAGCUUCAGGGUUGCAGAAGUGGGUCAGGACCCAGCUCAGAUGCUGAGGGGCUGAGUGGCUCUGCAGGGAUCCAGUUGUCCUACAUGCACGGGGAGGGUAGAAAAAACCACCUUGGGCUCCUUCUGACUGUCAUAGUCUGAGACCCUCCAACCAGAGGAGCCUGGUGAGCCCCUAACCCUGCUUCCCCAGCCAACAACCUGAUGCUGUCUGAUCUGAGCACCUUGC
RNAcentral lists this long non-coding RNA (669 nucleotides) under Marmota monax (woodchuck). Lineage: Eukaryota; Metazoa; Chordata; Mammalia; Rodentia; Sciuridae. The record is from RNAcentral.